RNAcentral lists this long non-coding RNA (808 nucleotides) under Homo sapiens (human). Its description in RNAcentral is "HSALNT0083630". The record is from RNAcentral. Lineage: Eukaryota; Metazoa; Chordata; Mammalia; Primates; Hominidae.
GCUUCCUCAGGGAUUCGCAGGCACUCUAACAGGAAGAGGACAAAGAGAAUUAUUAUGUUAUGUCACAUUUAUACAUUUUACCUAGGUGUCCUGCAUUCCUGAUGCAAAAAUGGCUUGCGAAUACUUUCCAAGUGAAAACAAAAAAAGGUAUCUACGGUGGAAGUUCUUCAGCAAUUUCAACAGCCAAGCCUUGGAAAUCAAGGACAGUAUGUUUAUCAGAAAAUAAAGAUGCCGGUCGGAAGGCGCCGGGUAGGGGAGCCCACCUGCUCUCUCUGAACACUCAUGGAUUAGAAUGCCAUUGAGGAAACUCAGGACCCCUGAAGAAUAAAGACAAGAGUUGACAGUCUCUUUUGAGGAUGGCCCUGCUGAUCUUACAAGCACCAUGAGCUCCCAUCGCACUGGCCAAAGAGAAGAACACAGUUCCACAAAGAAACUAAAAGGGAGUGUCUUCCAUAACCCAAGGAUAGGAGGGAGAAGGGCGAAUGCACCCACAUUUGGCAAAACCAGACUUCAAUAGAAGAAACCCAACUCACCUGAGAGUCAGACAAAUAAAAGAGAAAAAAAUAUGCAGCUUGGUCACAGUAGACUGAACCAAUGAUUAAAUGUGUUCUAACUCAGAAAUUCUCCUUGAUUAACAUGCAAGGUCUUUUGGAUUUUGUCUUGCUUUACAUUUGUGACUGUCACAGGAAAACAGCAUCUUGAAGAUGGCACUUGCAAAGUGGCAGGACACGCAGAGAUGCUGAGCAGCAGGGUCCCAAUUCCUGACAGGACUUGGAGCCCAUCAGAGGCACAGUGUGCCUACAAAGAG